AAUAUUGGACAAUGGGGGGAACCCUGAUCCAGCCAUGCCGCGUGUGUGAAGAAGGUCUNCGGAUUNUNAAGCACUUUAAGUUGGGNGGAAGAGUUGUAGGCUAAUACCUUGCAAUUUUGACGUUACCAACAGAAUAAGCACCGGCGAACGUCGUGCCAGCAGCCUCGGUAAUACGAAGGGUGCAAGCGUUAAUCGGAAUUACUGGGCGUAAAGCGCGCGUAGGUGGUUCGUUAAGUUCGAACUGAACGCCCCGGGCUUAACCUGGGAAUUGCUUUCACAACUGACGAGUUAGAGUACGGUAGAGGCUAGUGGAAUUUCCUGUGUAGCGGUGAAAUGCGUAGAUAUAGGAAGGAACAUCAGUGGCGAAGGCGACUACCUGGACUGAUACUGACACUGAGGAGCGAAAGCGUGGGUAGCAAACA
Molecule: ribosomal RNA, 422 nt
Filed under: uncultured bacterium
Lineage: Bacteria
Description: partial 16S ribosomal RNA
Rfam family: Bacterial small subunit ribosomal RNA
Source: RNAcentral